This 2547-nucleotide long non-coding RNA is filed under the name Nicotiana benthamiana. RNAcentral describes it as "long non-coding RNA (NBEN_LNC029034)". Lineage: Eukaryota; Viridiplantae; Streptophyta; Magnoliopsida; Solanales; Solanaceae. The record is from RNAcentral.
AGAAAAGUGUGACUGAAUCUCCGUAACUGUACAAGCCAGAAGCUUUCGGAAAGUGUAUUUGUACAAAUAUCUACAAUAUUAUUUUCUGUACAUUGUAUUGGGCCAUUGGGCCAGAAUUAAAUAAAUUUACAACUGGGCUUGGCUUGGGCUGCCGUGUUGCUGUGUCUGUUUCAGUGAAUUGGGCUGCAGAUGUGGCCCAAUAACUCCAAAACCCCCUUGCAAGUUGGAGGGUGACUAAACUCCCAAUUUGAGCAUGAUAGAACGAUGCAAAAUACCAGUAAGAGGCUUGUUAAAGAUAUCCGCAAGCUGAGAGGUAGUCGAGACAUGGUGCAAAGCAAUAAGGCCUUCAUGAAUCUUGCCUCUGAUGAAAUGGCAAUCCACCUCAAUAUGUUUGGUCCGCUCAUGAAACACUGGAUUCUUUGCAAUGUGAAGUGCUUCUUGAUUAUCACAAAAGACUGAUACAGGAGUGGUAACAGGAACCCCAAAAUCAGAAAUCAAUCGAAUAAGCCAGGUGAGCUCACCAACAACCUUGCUCAUGGCUCUAUAUUCAGCCUCAACAGAAGACAGAGAUACCACAGGCUGCUUUUUAGCCUUCCAACCAAUAAGAGAAUCACCUAACAGAACACAAAAAUAAGAGACAGAUCUUCUGGUGUCUGGGCAGGAUGCCCAGUCACUAUCACAAUAAGCAGAUAAGGAGAGGUCAGGUGUGUUGCUGAGAAAAAUGCCAAGGUAAGAAGUGCCUCUAAGAUAUCUCAGGGUAUGCAAAGCUGCAUGCAUAUAAGAGGAGGUAGGCUUCUGAAGGUAUUGACUUAAAUGCUGGACAGCAAAGGCUAAGUCAGGUCUAGUGUGGGUAAGAAAGUUGAGUUUUCCCACUAAGCAGAAAAUGCCAAGGUCAGAAGUGCCUCUAAGAUAUCUCAAGGUGUGCAAAGCUGCAUGCAUAUGAGAGGAGGUAGGCUUCUGAAGAUAUUGACUUAAAUGCUGGACAACAAAGGCUAAGUCAAAUAGACAGCCAAUAAGAUAGUAGAAGAGCCAGAUUUCUUAAGAAAAAGAGAAUAGUCAUUGAGAGAAGAACAUAAGGCCUGGGAGAACUUGGCAUACCACUGCCUGGAAGCCUGCCUUAACCCAUACAAAGAUUUCUGAAGCAAACAGACCAAAGGAGAAGAAGAAGAAGUAGAACAUGCAACAUCCAGUCCAGGAUGGAGUUUCAUAUAAACUUCCUCAGCUAGGUCACCAUGUAAGAAUGCAUUAUUCACAUCAAGUUGAAAGAGAGACAAAUUCUGUUUAACAUAUACAGCAAUGAGGGAUUUGAUAUUUGAGAACUUGACAACAUGAGAAAAGGUCUCAGUGAAGUCUACCCCCUCAACUUGGGUGUCACCCCCAACAACCAGCCUCAAUGAGGGAUUUGAUAGUUGAAAAAUUGACAACAGAAGAAAAAGUCUCAGUGAAGUCUACACCCUCAACUUGGGUGUCACCCCUAACAAUCAGCCUAGCCUUAUGUAUUUCCACAGACCCAUCAGCCCUAUAUUUUAUCUUAUAGACCCAUUUGCAACCAAUAGGUCUUUUACCAGGGGGAAGGGGAACUAUAGACCAGGUAUGAUUGGCCUCCAAAGCUGCAAAUUCCUUGGUUAUUGCCUCCUGCCAGGCAGGAAUGGAAGCAGCCUGCUGGUAGGAGGUAGGCUCUGCCUCUGGAAUGCUAACCAAACUGUGAAGCCAAGUGGAAGAAGAACUGGGGCCAGAAAGAGAAGGAGGAAGAGUGCAAACAUACUGCUGCAGAUAAGCAGGAAGGACAUGUGCCCUAUUGGAUCUUCUGGGAGCAGAUGAAGCAGGCACUGAAGAAGUAUGUGAUGGAGAAGAAGGUGAGGAAGAAGGAGAGUCAAGAAGUUGAUGGGUGGAAGAAGAAGAAGGAUUGUACAGAAAGUCAUAAACAGGAGGAACCCAGGCAGAAGAAGGAUUAAGAGGAGGAAAAGAGCCAUGGUAAAAAGUCCCUGGAGAGGCAAAAGGAAAGACAUCCUCAUGAAAAAUGACAUCUCUGGAUAUCAGGGUAAGUUUAGACUUCAAGUUAUACAACUUGUAACCCUUUUUAGCCAAUGGGUAACCCAGAAAAACACAGGGAUCAGCUCUGGGCUGGAAUUUAUCUCUAUUCUGUUUAAGGACUGAGGCAAAACAUAGGCAACCAAAUGUUUUAAGGGGGUUAUAGGAUGGAAUCUGGACAAACAGCAAUUCAAAAGGGGAUUUGUUGUUAAGUAGUUUGGAAGGAAACCUGUUAAUGAGGUAGGUUGCAGUAAGCACACAAUCACCCUAAAAUCUAACGGGUAGCUGAGAAUGAAAGAGUAGAGCUCUUGAGGUUUCUAGCAGGUAUCUAUGCUUUCUCUUAACUACACCAUUUUGUUGUGGUGUGUGAGAGCAAGAAGUUUGAUGCAUUAUGCCAUGUUCAGCAAAGAAGUUGCUGCCACAGCUACUAGAGCCAAGUUCAAAUGCAUUAUCACUCCUAAUGGUUUGUACCACAGUCUGGAAUUGAGUCUUAACCAUGGCAAUGAAGGCUUUAAU